Molecule: ribosomal RNA, 258 nt
Filed under: uncultured bacterium
Lineage: Bacteria
Description: partial 16S ribosomal RNA
Rfam family: Bacterial small subunit ribosomal RNA
Source: RNAcentral
CGGGUGAGUAGCACGUGAGUGACCUGCCUUUUAGACUGGAACAACUUACCGAAAGGUGAGCUAAUGCCGGAUGAGUUAUAUAAGUGCAUGUUUAUAUAGGAAAAGUUGGGGAGACCUGACGCUGAAAGAUGGACUCGCGUCCCAUUAGCUAGUUGGUAGGGUAAUGGCCUACCAAGGCGACGAUGGGUAGCCGGCCUGAGAGGGUGGCCGGCCACACUGGGACUGAGACACGGCCCAGACUCCUACGGAAGGCAGCAG